CCUACGGGUGGCUGCAGUGGGGAAUAUUGGACAAUGGGCGAAAGCCUGAUCCAGCCAUGCCGCGUGUGUGAAGAAGGCCUUCGGGUUGUAAAGCACUUUCAGUGGGGAAGAAAGCCUUGGGGCUAAUACCCUCGAGGAAGGACAUCACCCACAGAAGAAGCACCGGCUAACUCCGUGCCAGCAGCCGCGGUAAUACGGAGGGUGCGAGCGUUAAUCGGAAUUACUGGGCGUAAAGCGCGCGUAGGCGGUCUGAUAAGCCGGUUGUGAAAGCCCCGGGCUCAACCGGGAACGGCAUCCGGAACUGUCAGGCUAGAGUGCAGGAGAGGAAGGUAGAAUUCCCGGUGUAGCGGUGAAAUGCGUAGAGAUCGGGAGGAAUACCAGUGGCGAAGGCGGCCUUCUGGACUGACACUGACGCUGAGGUGCGAAAGCGUGGGUAGCAAACAGGAUUAGAUACCCGUGUAGUC
RNAcentral lists this ribosomal RNA (464 nucleotides) under Vreelandella stevensii. Its description in RNAcentral is "partial 16S ribosomal RNA". It matches the Rfam family "Bacterial small subunit ribosomal RNA", at positions 338 to 795 of the family's 1533-position model. The record is from RNAcentral. Lineage: Bacteria; Pseudomonadati; Pseudomonadota; Gammaproteobacteria; Oceanospirillales; Halomonadaceae.